Molecule: ribosomal RNA, 2819 nt
Filed under: Helicobacter pylori
Lineage: Bacteria; Pseudomonadati; Campylobacterota; Epsilonproteobacteria; Campylobacterales; Helicobacteraceae
Description: bacterial LSU rRNA
Rfam family: Bacterial large subunit ribosomal RNA
Source: RNAcentral
AAAACAAGCUUUUAAGAGCAGAUGGCGGAUGCCUUGCCAAAGAGAGGCGAUGAAGGACGUACUAGACUGCGAUAAGCUAUGCGGAGCUGUCAAGGAGCUUUGAUGCGUAGAUGUCCGAAUGGGGCAACCCAACUAAUAGAGAUAUUAGUUACUCUAAUUAUAGAGGGCGAACCUAGUGAAGUGAAACAUCUCAGUAACUAGAGGAAAAGAAAUCAACGAGAUUCCCUAAGUAGUGGCGAGCGAACGGGGAAAAGGGCAAACCGAGUGCUUGCAUUCGGGGUUGAGGACUGCAAUAUCCAAGAGAACGCUUUAGCAGAGUUACCUGGAAAGGUAAGCCAUAGAAAGUGAUAGCCUUGUAUGCGACAAGGCGUUCUUAGGUAGCAGGAUCCAGAGUAGGCCAGGACACGAGAAAUCCAGGUUGAAGCCGGGGAGACCACUCUCCAACCCUAAAUACUACUCUUUGAGCGAUAGCGAACAAGUACCGUGAGGGAAAGGUGAAAAGAACCGCAGUGAGCGGAGUGAAAUAGAACCUGAAACCAUCUGCUUACAAUCAUUCAGAGCCCUAUGAUUUAUCAGGGUGAUGGACUGCCUUUUGCAUAAUGAUCCUGCGAGUUGUGGUAUCUGGCAAGGUUAAGCGAAUGCGAAGCCGUAGCGAAAGCGAGUCUUAAUAGGGCGAACAAGUCAGAUGCUGCAGACCCGAAGCUAAGUGAUCUAUCCAUGGCCAAGUUGAAACGCGUGUAAUAGCGCGUGGAGGACUGAACUCGUACCCAUUGAAACGGGUUGGGAUGAGCUGUGGAUAGGGGUGAAAGGCCAAACAAACUUAGUGAUAGCUGGUUCUCUUCGAAAUAUAUUUAGGUAUAGCCUCAAGUGAUAAUAAAAGGGGGUAGAGCGCUGAUUGGGCUAGGGCUGCUCGCCGCGGUACCAAACCCUAUCAAACUUCGAAUACCUUUUAUCGUAUCUUGGGAGUCAGGCGGUGGGUGAUAAAAUCAAUCGUCAAAAGGGGAACAACCCAGACUACCAAAUAAGGUCCCUAAGUUCUAUUCUGAGUGGAAAAAGAUGUGUGGCUACUCAAACAACCAGGAGGUUGGCUUAGAAGCAGCCAUCCUUUAAAGAAAGCGUAACAGCUCACUGGUCUAGUGGUCAUGCGCUGAAAAUAUAACGGGGCUAAGAUAGACACCGAAUUUGUAGAUUGUGUUUGACACAGUGGUAGAAGAGCGUUCAUACCAGCGUUGAAGGUAUACCGGUAAGGAGUGCUGGAGCGGUAUGAAGUGAGCAUGCAGGAAUGAGUAACGAUAAGAUAUAUGAGAAUUGUAUCCGCCGUAAAUCUAAGGUUUCCUACGCGAUGGUCGUCAUCGUAGGGUUAGUCGGGUCCUAAGCCGAGUCCGAAAGGGGUAGGUGAUGGCAAAUUGGUUAAUAUUCCAAUACCGACUAUGGAGCGUGAUGGGGGGACGCAUAGGGUUAAGCGAGCUAGCUGAUGGAAGCGCUAGUCUAAGGGCGUAGAUUGGAGGGAAGGCAAAUCCACCUCUGUAUUUGAAACCCAAACAGGCUCUUUGAGUCCUUUUAGGACAAAGGGAGAAUCGCUGAUACCGUCGUGCCAAGAAAAGCCUCUAAGCAUAUCCAUAGUCGUCCGUACCGCAAACCGACACAGGUAGAUGAGAUGAGUAUUCUAAGGCGCGUGAAAGAACUCUGGUUAAGGAACUCUGCAAACUAGCACCGUAAGUUCGCGAUAAGGUGUGCCACAGCGAUGUGGUCUCAGCAAAGAGUCCCUCCCGACUGUUUACCAAAAACACAGCACUUUGCCAACUCGUAAGAGGAAGUAUAAGGUGUGACGCCUGCCCGGUGCUCGAAGGUUAAGAGGAUGCGUCAGUCGCAAGAUGAAGCGUUGAAUUGAAGCCCGAGUAAACGGCGGCCGUAACUAUAACGGUCCUAAGGUAGCGAAAUUCCUUGUCGGUUAAAUACCGACCUGCAUGAAUGGCGUAACGAGAUGGGAGCUGUCUCAACCAGAGAUUCAGUGAAAUUGUAGUGGAGGUGAAAAUUCCUCCUACCCGCGGCAAGACGGAAAGACCCCGUGGACCUUUACUACAACUUAGCACUGCUAAUGGGAAUAUCAUGCGCAGGAUAGGUGGGAGGCUUUGAAGUAAGGGCUUUGGCUCUUAUGGAGCCAUCCUUGAGAUACCACCCUUGAUGUUUCUGUUAGCUAACUGGCCUGUGUUAUCCACAGGCAGGACAAUGCUUGGUGGGUAGUUUGACUGGGGCGGUCGCCUCCUAAAAAGUAACGGAGGCUUGCAAAGGUUGGCUCAUUGCGGUUGGAAAUCGCAAGUUGAGUGUAAUGGCACAAGCCAGCCUGACUGUAAGACAUACAAGUCAAGCAGAGACGAAAGUCGGUCAUAGUGAUCCGGUGGUUCUGUGUGGAAGGGCCAUCGCUCAAAGGAUAAAAGGUACCCCGGGGAUAACAGGCUGAUCUCCCCCAAGAGCUCACAUCGACGGGGAGGUUUGGCACCUCGAUGUCGGCUCAUCGCAUCCUGGGGCUGGAGCAGGUCCCAAGGGUAUGGCUGUUCGCCAUUUAAAGCGGUACGCGAGCUGGGUUCAGAACGUCGUGAGACAGUUCGGUCCCUAUCUGCCGUGGGCGUAGGAAAGUUGAGGAGAGCUGUCCCUAGUACGAGAGGACCGGGAUGGACGUGUCACUGGUGCACCAGUUGUUCUGCCAAGAGCAUCGCUGGGUAGCUACACACGGAUGUGAUAACUGCUGAAAGCAUCUAAGCAGGAAUGCAGUAAUGCGUUUAGCUGACUACUACUAAUAGAGCGUUUGGCUUGUUUUU